ACAACAUUAUGAUGUUCCCCAAGUUUUGGACUCAAUCCGAUAUCGAUUGGUCCUUGAAAUCGGACAAUUCAGGUUUGUACGAAGUUCGUUCUGAAAUGGGGUGGUUGGUGUAUGGUACAGUUCUAGAGAUUGGAUUCCACUCAAAACCCACCAAAUGACUCCUCCCACAAUAUUAUGUUGUUCCCCAAGUUCUGGACUCAAUCCGACAUUGAUUGGUCCUUGGAAUCGAACAAUUCAGAUUCGUACGAAGUUCGUUCUGAAAUAGGGUGGUUGGUGUAUUGUAUUGUUCUAGAGAUUGGAUUUCACUCAAAAGCCUGCAAAUGACUCCUCCCACAACAUUAUGAUGUUCCCCAAGUUUUGGACUCAAUCCGAUAUCGACUAGUCCUUGAAAUCAGACAAUUCAGGUUCGUAAGAAGUUAGUUCUGAAAUGGGGUGGUUGGUGUAUUGUAUAGUUCUAGAGAUUGGAUUCCACUCAAAACCCACCAAAUGACUCCUCCCACAAUAUUAUGAUGUUCCCCAAGUUUUGGACUCAAUCCGACAUCGAUUGGUCCUUGAAAUCGGACAAUUCAGGUUCGUACGAAGUUCGUUCUGAAAUAGGGUGGUUGGUGUAUUGUAUAGUUCUAGAGAUUGGAUUUCACUCAAAACCAGCCACAUAACUCCUCCCAGAAUAUUGUGAUGUUCCCCAAGUUUUGGACUCAAUCCGAUAUCGAUUGGUCCUUGAAAUCGGACAAUUCAGGUUCGUACGAAGUUCGUUCUGAAAUGGGGUGGUUAGUGUAUUGUAUAGUUCUAGAGAUUGGAUUUCACUCAAAACCCACCAAAUGACUCCUCCCACAAUAUUAUGAU
This 843-nucleotide long non-coding RNA is filed under the name Prunus persica (peach). Its description in RNAcentral is "long non-coding RNA (PPER_LNC008775)". The record is from RNAcentral. Lineage: Eukaryota; Viridiplantae; Streptophyta; Magnoliopsida; Rosales; Rosaceae.